This 473-nucleotide ribosomal RNA is filed under the name uncultured bacterium. RNAcentral describes it as "bacterial SSU rRNA". It matches the Rfam family "Bacterial small subunit ribosomal RNA", at positions 355 to 825 of the family's 1533-position model. The record is from RNAcentral.
UGGGGAAUAUUGGGCAAUGGGCGAAAGCCUGACCCAGCGACGCCGCGUGGGUGAUGAAGGCCUUCGGGUCGUAAAGCCCUGUCAGGAGGAAAGAACGAUCUUGUGGUAAACACCCACGAGAUGUGACGGUACCUCCGAAGGAAGCACCGGCCAAUUCCGUGCCAGCAGCCGCGGUAAGACGGAAGGUGCAAGCGUUGCUCGGAAUCACUGGGCGUAAAGGGUGCGUAGGCGGCUUCUUAAGUCUGGUGUGAAAGCCCAGGGCUCAGCUCUGGAAGUGCACUAGAUACUGGGGAGCUUGAGUACCGGAGGGGAGAGUGGAAUUCCUGGUGUAGCGGUGAAAUGCGUAGAUAUCAGGAGGAAUACCGGUGGCGAAAGCGACUCUCUGGACGGUUACUGACGCUGAGGCACGAAAGCGUGGGGAGCAAACAGGAUUAGAUACCCUAGUAGUCCCUGAGCGGGCUGGCAAGGCGCAU